ACACAGGUGCUGCAUGGCUGUCGUCAGCUCGUGUCGUGAGAUGUGGGUUAAGUCCGUAACGAGCGCAACCCUGUCCUUAGUUACCAGCACGUUAUGGUGGGCACUCUAAGGAGACUGCCGGUGACAAACCGGAGGAAGGUGGGGAGUGACGUCAAGUCAUCAUGGCCCUUACGGCCUGGGCUACACACGUGCUACAAUGGUCGGUACAAAGGGUUGCCAAGCCGCGAGGUGGAGCUAAUCCCAUAAAACCGAUCGUAGUCCGGAUCGCAGUCUGCAACUCGACUGCGUGAAGUCGGAAUCGCUAGUAAUCGUGAAUCAGAAUGUCACGGUGAAUACGUUCCCGGGCCUU
RNAcentral lists this ribosomal RNA (349 nucleotides) under uncultured Pseudomonas sp. RNAcentral's name for it is "bacterial SSU rRNA". It matches the Rfam family "Bacterial small subunit ribosomal RNA", at positions 1032 to 1382 of the family's 1533-position model. Lineage: Bacteria; Pseudomonadati; Pseudomonadota; Gammaproteobacteria; Pseudomonadales; Pseudomonadaceae. The record is from RNAcentral.